This 492-nucleotide ribosomal RNA is filed under the name uncultured bacterium. RNAcentral's name for it is "partial 16S ribosomal RNA". It matches the Rfam family "Bacterial small subunit ribosomal RNA", at positions 29 to 507 of the family's 1533-position model. The record is from RNAcentral.
AGUGAACGCUGGCGGUAGGCCUAACACAUGCAAGUCGAACGGCAGCACAGUAAGAGCUUGCUCUUACGGGUGGCGAGUGGCGGACGGGUGAGGAAUACAUCGGAAUCUACUUUUUCGUGGGGGAUAACGUAGGGAAACUUACGCUAAUACCGCAUACGACCUACGGGUGAAAGCAGGGGAUCUUCGGACCUUGCGCGAUUGAAUGAGCCGAUGUCGGAUUAGCUAGUUGGCGGGGUAAAGGCCCACCAAGGCGACGAUCCGUAGCUGGUCUGAGAGGAUGGUCAGCCACACUGGAACUGAGACACGGUCCAGGCUCCUACGGGAGGCAGCAGUGGGGAAUAUUGGGCAAUGGGCGCAAGCCUGGUCCAGCCAUACCGCGUGGGUGAAGAAGGCCUUCGGGUUGUAAAGCCCUUUUGUUGGGAAAGAAAAGCAGCAGGUUAAUACCCCGCUGUUCUGACGGUACCCAAAGAAUAAGCACCGGCUAACUUCGUG